UCGAGAAUAAUUCACAAUGGGGGAAACCCUGAUGGUGCAACGCCGCGUGGAGGAUGAAGGUCUUCGGAUUGUAAACUCCUGUCAUCCGGGAGUAAGACCUGGCGGUAAAUAGCCGACAGGGUUGAUAGUACCGGAAGAGGAAGGGACGGCUAACUUCGUGCCAGCAGCCGCGGUAAUACGAAGGUCCCAAGCGUUGUUCGGAAUCACUGGGCGUAAAGGGUGCGUAGGCGGUUUGGUAAGUCAGAUGUG
Molecule: ribosomal RNA, 249 nt
Filed under: uncultured Luteolibacter sp.
Lineage: Bacteria; Pseudomonadati; Verrucomicrobiota; Verrucomicrobiia; Verrucomicrobiales; Verrucomicrobiaceae
Description: partial 16S ribosomal RNA
Rfam family: Bacterial small subunit ribosomal RNA
Source: RNAcentral